RNAcentral lists this ribosomal RNA (482 nucleotides) under uncultured bacterium. RNAcentral's name for it is "bacterial SSU rRNA". It matches the Rfam family "Bacterial small subunit ribosomal RNA", at positions 30 to 507 of the family's 1533-position model. The record is from RNAcentral.
AUUGAACGCUGGCGGCAUGCCUUACACAUGCAAGUCGAACGGCAGCGGGCCUUCGGGUGCCGGCGAGUGGCGAACGGGUGAGUAAUGCAUCGGAACGUGCCAUUGAGUGGGGGAUAACGUAGCGAAAGUUACGCUAAUACCGCAUAUUCUGUGAGCAGGAAAGCAGGGGACCGCAAGGCCUUGCGCUCUUUGAGCGGCCGAUGUCAGAUUAGCUAGUUGGUGAGGUAAAGGCUUACCAAGGCGACGAUCUGUAGCGGGUCUGAGAGGAUGAUCCGCCACACUGGAACUGAGACACGGUCCAGACUCCUACGGGAGGCAGCAGUGGGGAAUUUUGGACAAUGGGCGCAAGCCUGAUCCAGCCAUGCCGCGUGAGUGAAGAAGGCCUUCGGGUUGUAAAGCCCUUUCGGCCGGGAAGAAAUCGCAUGGGUUAAUACCCUGUGUGGAUGACGGUACCGGAAUAAGAAGCACCGGCUAACUACGUG